UAAAUUUUCAAAUUCGAAUGUGAAAAUACAUUUUAAAACAUGCGGUAUGGCGGAUUUUGCAAACGUUCAUGUCGGUUCAUUGUCUCACUGCAUAGAACAAUGCUUAGAUAUAGAUGUUGAAUUCAUUCAGUCAACCCUCAGUCUAUGACUGAAUUCCACCUACAGUUAACUGGAGAAUAUUCACACUUGUCUAUGAUACAUAAUAAAUCAAUAUACACUGGCAUUGUUGGUACAACUCUAGAAGAAGGAACCACUUUACUAAUGAUUUUGCCUGUAAUCAAAAAUUUACUUAGGACUGAAUCAAAUUUUUUGUUGAAUGGCACAUUUUAAAGUUCACCAAGUUUUGGAAAUGAAUGCCACUAAUUUUAUAUAGCAAUGGGCAUAACAUUUAAUACUGGAUUUUCUAUAGGGCUUGCAUUUAUGUCAAAGAAAAUGAAAGGGCAUACACUACCUAAGCAUAGUACCAGAGUAGCAACUUCAAACUAUUAUAGUUGAUUUUGCUGUUAUAAGAACAAUGUUUCCAAAUACCACUAUUAGAAGAUAUUGGUUUAAUUCCUCCCAAGUGGUAUGGAGAAAAGUUGCAAACAUAUGAUUGAUUGAAAUAUGUAGUAACUAUCGAGGAGCCCAUGACAUUGUGCAUAUGUUGAUGGCAUUGCCUUGCCCGAAAAUGACAACAGGUUCGGUUGCAAAACUAGAGGUCCCGUGGACCUCUUGUAACCUUAUCAGUUACAGUGCUUUAAAUAGUGACUAGUGACUAAAACAUAAAGGUUUUCGAUAUUGCACAAACACGAGUUGCAAAAACUGCGCUCAUACGAAGAGCAUGCAAGUUGGCGUAACACACACAAAACAGCCCAAAAUACUUCUUGGACAGGAAAAUGGUCGGCGAGGAAAGAGAGAGAGAUGCAAGCGCGUCAACCAUGGACUAUGAUUAACAGGCCUAAUCAUGUCAGUUAAACAUUGAGUAUUUGAGUUGGCACUCGGCAAAUAAAAUUAUAAUUUUUUUAAGUUGGCUGCCAUUAAUGAAUAUUUCCUAUAUGGCAUUUGAGCAAUAUACAUAAUUAAUUAUGUAUAGUACCUGGUUGCAGGAUAGGCAGUAAACUAGGGUAGAUACCUAGAUACUUGUAAAUAUAUAUGAAUUAUAUUGAACUCAAUAUUUCUGUGAUCUAAUUUAAUAGUUAAAAUUCUCAAAACAGAAUGGUUUUCAACAUAAUAUAAAUUCCAAAACUUCUGAAAAUUUCCAACAUUUCUUUAAUAAUAUUAUACGAUUCUAUACCAUAAACGUUUAUAGUGGAAGAAUAAAUAAAAAAAAUGAUGAAAAUUAUUAUGCAGUUAUUUAAUUUUCUAAACGUAAAUCAGAAUAAGGAAUUUCAUUUGAUCUCUGUGAUAGUAUUUAGAUUAAGAUUAAAUUAGAUAUGUAUUGUUAUUUCGAAAUUUGAAUAUUAUACAAUUUAAAUAAUAUAAUAAUGGGAUGCGAAAAAAUUGUCUCCAAAAGACUGAGCUUUUGGGGAUACAAGAGUUGACAAUGUUUUUUAAUUACAUUUUUUUUUAUACUUAUAUACUUACACACUGUAUACUUAUCUAGACCAUUCUUAAAUUAAAAUAC
RNAcentral lists this long non-coding RNA (1603 nucleotides) under Acyrthosiphon pisum (pea aphid). RNAcentral describes it as "uncharacterized LOC103309485". The record is from RNAcentral. Lineage: Eukaryota; Metazoa; Arthropoda; Insecta; Hemiptera; Aphididae.